AUGCACGCUGGCGGCGUGCCUAAUACAUGCAAGUCGAGCGAACAGACGAGGAGCUUGCUCCUCUGACGUUAGCGGCGGACGGGUGAGUAACACGUGGAUAACCUACCUAUAAGACUGGGAUAACUUCGGGAAACCGGAGCUAAUACCGGAUAAUAUAUUGAACCGCAUGGUUCAAUAGUGAAAGGCGGUUUUGCUGUCACUUAUAGAUGGAUCCGCGCCGCAUUAGCUAGUUGGUAAGGUAACGGCUUACCAAGGCGACGAUGCGUAGCCGACCUGAGAGGGUGAUCGGCCACACUGGAACUGAGACACGGUCCAGACUCCUACGGGAGGCAGCAGUAGGGAAUCUUCCGCAAUGGGCGAAAGCCUGACGGAGCAACGCCGCGUGAGUGAUGAAGGUCUUCGGAUCGUAAAACUCUGUUAUUAGGGAAGAACAAAUGUGUAAGUAACUAUGCACGUCUUGACGGUACCUAAUCAGAAAGCCACGGCUAACUACGUG
RNAcentral lists this ribosomal RNA (496 nucleotides) under uncultured bacterium. RNAcentral's name for it is "partial 16S ribosomal RNA". It matches the Rfam family "Bacterial small subunit ribosomal RNA", at positions 29 to 507 of the family's 1533-position model. The record is from RNAcentral.